CAGCGCCUGACACAUGCAAGUCGAACGAGGGCCUUCGCGGCUAUAGAGGCGCACGGGUGCGUAACGCGUGGGAAUCUGCCCCUGGGUUCGGAAUAACAGUUAGAAAUGACUGCUAAUACCGGAUGAUGACGUAAGUCCAAAGAUUUAUCGCCCAGGGAUGAGCCCGCGUAGGAUUAGCUAGUUGGCGGGGUAAGGGCCCACCAAGGCGAUGAUCAGUAGGGGUUCUGAGAGGAUUGGCCCCCACAUGGGUACUGAGAUACGGACCCAACUCCUACGGGAGGCAGCAGUAGGGAAUAUUGGGCAAUGGGCGAGAGCCUGACCCAGCCAUGCCGCGUGCCGGAUGAAGGCGCUCAGCGUUGUAAACGGCUUUUGACUGGGAAGAACGGCAGGUUUGCGAACUUGUGUGACGGUACCAGCAGAAUAAGCACCGGCUAACUCCGUGCCAGCAGCCGCGGUAAU
RNAcentral lists this ribosomal RNA (459 nucleotides) under uncultured bacterium. RNAcentral's name for it is "bacterial SSU rRNA". It matches the Rfam family "Bacterial small subunit ribosomal RNA", at positions 43 to 524 of the family's 1533-position model. The record is from RNAcentral.